CAUGUGGGGCAAGCGUUGUUCGGAAUUACUGGGCAUAAAGGGUGCGUAGGUGGCUUGUUAAGUCAGGGGUCGAAAGUUUUCGGCCCAACCGGAAAAUGGCCUUUGAUACUGGCGAGCUCGAGUGCGUGAGGGGUAACCGGAACGAGCAGUGUAGCGGUGAAAUGCGUAGAUAUUGCUCGGAAGGCCAACGGCGAAGGCAGGUUACUGGUACGCAACUGACACUGAGGCACGAAAGCGUGGGGAGCAAACAGGAUUAGAUACCCUGGUAGUCCACGCCGUAAACGAUGAGCACUAGGUAGGUGCCGAGCUAUUCGGUGCCUGCCGCAGGUAAUUUGGUAAGUGCUCCGCCUGGGGAGUAUGGUCGCAAGGCUG
RNAcentral lists this ribosomal RNA (372 nucleotides) under uncultured organism. RNAcentral's name for it is "bacterial SSU rRNA". It matches the Rfam family "Bacterial small subunit ribosomal RNA", at positions 526 to 896 of the family's 1533-position model. The record is from RNAcentral.